AACGAACGCUGGCGGCAUGCCUAACACAUGCAAGUCGAACGAGACCUUCGGGUCUAGUGGCGCACGGGUGCGUAACGCGUUGGAACCUGCCCUUAGGUUCGGAAUAACUCCCCGAAAGGGGUGCUAAUACCGGAUAAUGUCUUCGGACCAAAGAUUUAUCGCCUUUGGAUGGGCCCGCGUUGGAUUAGCUAGUUGGUAGGGUAAAAGCCUACCAAGGCGACGAUCCAUAGCUGGUCUGAGAGGAUGAUCAGCCACACUGGGACUGAGACACGGCCCAGACUCCUACGGGAGGCAGCAGUGGGGAAUAUUGGACAAUGGGCGAAAGCCUGAUCCAGCAAUGCCGCGUGAGUGAUGAAGGCCUUAGGGUUGUAAAGCUCUUUUACCCGGGAUGAUAAUGACAGUACCGGGAGAAUAAGCUCCGGCUAACUACGUG
This 433-nucleotide ribosomal RNA is filed under the name uncultured bacterium. RNAcentral describes it as "partial 16S ribosomal RNA". It matches the Rfam family "Bacterial small subunit ribosomal RNA", at positions 29 to 507 of the family's 1533-position model. The record is from RNAcentral.